CCUACGGGUGGCAGCAGUGGGGGAUAUUGCACAAUGGGGGAAACCCUGAUGCAGCGACGCCGCGUGCGUGAAGAAGUAUUUCGGAAUGUAAAGCUCUAUCAGCAGGGAAGAAAAUGACAGUACCAGACCAAGAAGCCCCGGCUAACUACGUGCCAGCAGCCGCGGUAAUCCGUAGGGGGCAAGCGUUAUCCGGAUUUACUGGGUGUAAAGGGAGCGUAGACGGUUAGGUAAGUCUGGAGUGAAAGCCCGGGGCCCAACCCCGGGACUGCGUUGGAUACUGUGUAACUGGAGUGCAGGAGGGGGAGGCGGAAUUGCUGGUGUAGCGGUGAAAUGCGUAGAGAUCAGGAGGAACACCGGCGGCGAAGGCGGCCUGCUGGACUAAUACUGACGUUGAGGCUCGAAAGCGUGGGGAGCAAACAGGAUUAGAUACCCGUGUAGUC
RNAcentral lists this ribosomal RNA (440 nucleotides) under uncultured bacterium. Its description in RNAcentral is "partial 16S ribosomal RNA". It matches the Rfam family "Bacterial small subunit ribosomal RNA", at positions 338 to 795 of the family's 1533-position model. The record is from RNAcentral.